UACGUAGGGGGCAAGCGUUGUCCGGAUUUAUUGGGCGUAAAGAGCGUGUAGGCGGCCAGGUAGGUCGGUUGUGAAAACUGGAGGCUCAACCUCCAGACGUCGACCGAAACCAUCUGGCUAGAGUCCGGAAGAGGAGAGUGGAAUUCCUGGUGUAGCGGUGAAAUGCGCAGAUAUCAGGAAGAACACCCGUGGCGAAGGCGGCUCACUGGCCCGUAACUGACGCUGAGGUGCGAAAGCGUGGGGAGCAAACAGG
RNAcentral lists this ribosomal RNA (253 nucleotides) under uncultured bacterium. RNAcentral's name for it is "partial 16S ribosomal RNA". It matches the Rfam family "Bacterial small subunit ribosomal RNA", at positions 524 to 776 of the family's 1533-position model. The record is from RNAcentral.